AACAAAUUAAAUUAGUAAUCUAAGUUCAAAAGCACAAUGUUAAACAAGUACCCAAAUGAUUAGUUAGGUUUUUACGUAGUAUCAAGUUCGAGUCGUGAUAAGUUUCAACAAAUACAACAUAAAAAAUAUUGAUAAUAGAGCACCUAUCAACAAUCCCCAAAUCUUCUUAAGUAAGGUCAAUGUCUUCAUCACUUUCUUUCUUCAUUUUGGACACCUACAAAAAGAGAAUAAAUAACUAUCAAACAACUCAAAAUACUCAAACGAUAGAUUCACGCUUUAUAGCAUGAGACAGAGGUUAUUGCAUCAAAGACCAUAUAAAUAAUGAAGGGGUGAUUGUACCAUAAAUCAAGACAAAUGAGACCUAAAGUAAUUACAUAUAUUUAAUGCAACCUCUCAUCAAUCAUCAAGUUGUUAGUGUUUGUUUGGUUUGUUACCUAUUCUAAUUUGUUCCUUCCAUCAACAACCAACUAAACUCUCUAUCUACACACACACACACACACACACACACACACAUAUAUAUUCAGAUUUACCUUUCUAGUUUGGUCCCACUAUCACACCCAACUCUCAAACUUGUAUCAUGGCACAAACAAGAACCAAACAACACCACACUAUUUUCUUUUGCAUAUUUCCAACGAGUUUCCUUUACAUGGUUAACGUGAAAGACAAAAUAAGAUCUAAAUAGGGGAAUUUGUCUCUCUUUCAUCUGGUUAUAAUAAUCUCUGCAUUUUCUAUCACAUCACUGAGAGGUUCAUUCUUGUCAUGGUCAAUCCCACUAUGAUCCUUAUGAUCUUUAUACAUGCUAGUGAUACAACAAGAACAUAACAUUGACAUUGAUGAUGUAUUAGCAGUUGCAGAAGAGAGAAGCCACUACUCAUUAUUGUAAUGUAAUUCUAAAAAGAGAAAAAGACACACCAAAAUUUACUCCCUCUAUUUCAAAAAGAAUAACCUACUUUCAUUUUUAAUUCUAACCUACUUUCAUUUUUAAUUCAUUUAAAAAAGAAUAACCCCUUUCCUUUUUGGAAAUACUUUACUUUCAACAUUCCACAUGACAUAUUUAAGACCAUAAAAUUAAAGGAUAUUUUGGUACAUUUGACGUAACUUUAUUUUAGGACCACAAGAUUCAAAAGUCUUUUUUAUUAUCUUAAACUCUCUGCCAAGUCAAACUAGGUCAUUCUUUUUGAAAACUUGGGGUACCAAGAGAAAAAUAUAUUGUACAUCAAACUUUAUCAAGAAAAUAAAUGUAGUACACAUCAAAAUCAUCUAAUAGGGUGAAACAAGAGCACAAGACUGAUAUUAUUACUACGCCAAAAGGUAAGAAGAAUAGUAUUGGGCUAGGACGUAGGACAAUCAUGCAUUACUUCUAUAAAAAAUUCCUUUUUGAUUCAAAGCAGCAACACUGGAGAUUGAAUAAAAUAGGGGAACCUCAAAGUUCUAAUCUCACAAGGGAGGUAUAAAGAGAGUAUUAUAUACAUAAAUCUUAGAUAGAGAGGUUUUUUUCGCUAGACCCUUAGCUCAGGCACAAAUAAGAACCCAAAAAUUGCUUAAUUUACUCUAAGCAUCAAACAAGAAUAAAUUCACUUAAUUAAUUACCAUACAUACAUCAACAUGGCAAUGGUUUGCUAUUGGUUCAGUAACAUCAAAUUUCACACAAAUCCAUCACACACCUUAGCUCAGCCAUAUCAAUAUGGCAGUGGUUCACUAUUGGUUCAGCAAUAUAGCAGUGCUUCACUAUUGGUUCAGCAAAUUAUACUGCCAUGUUGCUGAAGCAACUUGUAAAUUAUGCUCAAUUUCAUGGUAGACCAUAACAGCUUCAAUAGCCUAAACCACUGCCAUGUUGUUGAAGCUGUUCUUAUAGGUACAUAAAACUAACAAGUACCGAUUUCAACUAAAUCAGUUAGAGACACUCCAACUAAACUCUAGAACACAAAAGAUACAUUCAAUUCAUUAAGUCCACUAAACACAUUGCACAUCAACUAUUUUGAGUAAAUUUAGCAUUACAUCAACCUUUUGUUUUACUCAAUACACAAACUAACAACCAUUCUGUCUUUUUUCUUUUCAGUUUAUCAUUAACAACUUCACUGCAUAACCAUUACACGCUAAGCACAGACGGGGAGACUAAUUAAGAACAUAAAACUUUCUUUUCAUCAAUCUAAGGUUUGACAACUUUAGGAUUAGCGACCAAAUUCAUCAUUAUAAUAGUAGAAACUAGUUGACACUUGCAAAACCCAGAGAGACUUAAACGAAAAGGUAAGAGCCAAGGAUGAAUUGCCUGCCGGUGACUGUCAUUGACUAGUAUAAAAAAUUCAUCCAGUGGCACAGAUAUAGUCAAUAAAAAAAGAAGACAAAGAGUUGAGAAGAAUAAAAUGACAAAAUAGAGACUGGCCUUGAUUUUACUACCAAUAGAAGGAUGAUGUAUUAGUUGAAUAGCAACCUCUUCUCCCGACGAAUGAACAUUGCAUCUAGCAUAUUAGGAUCAAGUGUUAAUCCUGGAUUUAAACACUACAGUUGUGCAAUGAUGUUCAUUGUAACAUCUCGUUCAAUGACAUUUCCUUAAGCAUUAAUUUUUUCCUGCAUUUUUUGUUGCAUCCGCUCUUUCAGUUCUUCCAAUCUUUUCUCUACCAGUUCAUCAACAAUGUUUGAAGAGGGUCUAUAAUCACUUACUUUUUAUUUCAAAAGAGACUUGGUAACCCCGCAUUCGAAUAGUCUUACUCGACUAGGAUGAUCAGGCCCCAUAACAGCUGUGAAUUCAUCAUUUGAUUGACUUUCAUUUUUAAUUUCUUGAGUUUCUAGUCUCUCCAUUUCAACCUACAAGUCAGAAUCAAGAGCAAGUAAAUUUAGUUGGUUCAAUAUUUAAGAAAGAACAAAUGAACUUGAUCAAUUUUGAAGAAACUUUCAUGCAAUUUUGUUAGUAAUAUCUUCAGAUGAGUCCUUAUAUACCCGGUUAGGUUUUCUUCUUCUAGUAGCCACAAAGAAUUCCUUACUUGAUAAAGCACCGGAAUUUUUCUUUUUUUUUUUACCUAGUUACAUAUAAGUCAACAUUAAAAUGUUUCCAAGUAAAGUCAAAAAGUUCAUAAUAACAAUAUGACAAAACAUCAAACAUUGCGGAUUAUAGCAAAACUUGUUUUGCCAACAAGGCGCAGAUACUUAAAUUUUUUCCAAUUCUCUUUGUUAGUGAUGGAAGUAUCCUACGAGACAAUAUUUACAAAUAAGUUUUUAAUAAAAAGAUUGAGGUAGUGAAGGAUUAAACAAAUAGAAUUUAAUGACUUAUGUCGAAAGAAAGAACAACGUAAAAAGAAAGGUCAGGCGUGAUAAAUUCAAUAAUAAAUGCAUGCUAACAAUAAUAUAACAGUUGUCUAUAGUGAUAUCAUACCUCAGCUUCUUCAGAAUUCUAAUACUUAAGGAUAUCCUCAAAUACAGGUUUUAAAAUAGUGUCAUACCUAUUUGCCCUUCGAAGUUCAUCAUUGGCAUAGGCAUAAAAAUGUUGUUUCUUGAACCUGGACUUAUACCCUCUAAACGCAACAUCAAUUGAUCUCAUAGCCCAAUCUUUCCAAUUGUUGGGAAUGUUAUAAGUCUCCUAUAAUUUGGUUUAAUUGGUUUAGUGCAAAAACUGUGAAAAACUUUCUAGUAAAAAUAAAAAUAUUGAGAACUUAGAACCUGGAUAUAGCUCCACAUAUCAUCGUGUGUCUUUAUCUUUGUCCAAGUAAGAUUAAGAGGGCAAUAUGUCCCAUUCCUUGCCAAUGUGCCAAGAAAGUUUCCAAACUCAGUGAUCGCUGCUUUAGUUGGACCAAUAGACUAGUUCAACUCAUUUAGCACUAUCAGUUGACGGUUAGUCCAUCCAUGUACUUCUUGCAUUUGUGUAGCGCCUCUUUUUUUAUUAGUUGAAGGUCCUACAAUAAUAUCAACAGUAAAAUUAAUGAAAUACAAAUAAUUUUUAAAAUAGUUUGAACUAAAAUAUAUAUAUUCUUGCCUUUUCCAGAUUGUUCAUUUGCUUGUAAAUUAGAAAGUUGUAACUGAUCUUGCUGCACUCGUUCAACUGUGGGUAGUGAUGCAAGAAUGGUGGAGUCUCUCAAUUCUUGUGGCACUUGCUCCUCUACUGGUGUUGCAAGAGAGGUGGAAUCUGGAGACACCUGUUGCACUUGUUCUGAUACUUGAGAUAUAGCCGGCACCUGUUGCACUUGUUAUGGUACUUGAGGUAUAGGUGGAAUGUUUUUUGACUUCUCCUUCUACUUUUGAUUCUUUUUCUUUGCAUUUAUGUAGCCUGUGUUCUUUUUCGACUAGGAUGAUCAGGCCCCAUAACAGCUGUGAAUUCAUCAUUUGAUUGACUUUCAUUUUUAAUUUCUUGAGUUUCUAGUCUCUCCAUUUCAACCUACAAGUCAGAAUCAAG
This 4384-nucleotide long non-coding RNA is filed under the name Capsicum annuum. RNAcentral's name for it is "long non-coding RNA (CANN_LNC008298)". Lineage: Eukaryota; Viridiplantae; Streptophyta; Magnoliopsida; Solanales; Solanaceae. The record is from RNAcentral.